CAGCCAUGCCGCGUGUGUGAAGAAGGCCUUCGGCUUGUAAAGCACUUUCAGCGAGGAAGAACGCCUAGUGGUUAAUACCCAUUAGGAAAGACAUCACUCGCAGAAGAAGCACCGGCUAACUCCGUGCCAGCAGCCGCGGUAAUACGGAGGGUGCGAGCGUUAAUCGGAAUUACUGGGCGUAAAGCGCGCGUAGGUGGCUUGAUAAGCCGGUUGUGAAAGCCCCGGGCUCAACCUGGGAACGGCAUCCGGAACUGUCAAGCUAGAGUGCAGGAGAGGAAGGUAGAAUUCCCGGUGUAGCGGUGAAAUGCGUAGAGAUCGGGAGGAAUACCAGUGGCGAAGGCGGCCUUCUGGACUGACACUGACACUGAGGUGCGAAAGCGUGGGUAGCAAACAGGAUUAGAUACCCUGGUAGUCCACGCCGUAAACGAUGUCGACCAGCCGUUGGGUGCCUAGCGCACUUUGUGGCGAAGUUAACGCGAUAAGUCGACCGCC
This 492-nucleotide ribosomal RNA is filed under the name gamma proteobacterium I-16. RNAcentral describes it as "bacterial SSU rRNA". It matches the Rfam family "Bacterial small subunit ribosomal RNA", at positions 389 to 873 of the family's 1533-position model. The record is from RNAcentral. Lineage: Bacteria; Pseudomonadati; Pseudomonadota; Gammaproteobacteria.